GACGAACGCUGGCGGCGUGCCUAAUACAUGCAAGUCGAGCGGACGAAUCGAAAGCUUGCUUUUGAUUCGUUAGCGGCGGACGGGUGAGUAACACGUGGGCAACCUGCCCUGUAGACGGGGAUAACACCGAGAAAUCGGUGCUAAUACCGGAUAACACGAAAUGUCGCAUGACGUUUCGUUGAAAGACGGCGCAAGCUGUCGCUACAGGAUGGGCCCGCGGCGCAUUAGCUAGUUGGUGAGGUAACGGCUCACCAAGGCGACGAUGCGUAGCCGACCUGAGAGGGUGAUCGGCCACACUGGAACUGAGACACGGCCCAGACUCCUACGGGAGGCAGCAGUAAGGAAUCUUCCGCAAUGGACGAAAGUCUGACGGAGCAACGCCGCGUGAGCGAAGAAGGCCUUCGGGUCGUAAAGCUCUGUUGUUAGGGAAGAACAAGUAACGCAGUAACUGGCGUUACCGUGACGGUACCUAACGAGAAAGCCACGGCUAACUACGUG
This 498-nucleotide ribosomal RNA is filed under the name uncultured bacterium. RNAcentral's name for it is "partial 16S ribosomal RNA". It matches the Rfam family "Bacterial small subunit ribosomal RNA", at positions 28 to 507 of the family's 1533-position model. The record is from RNAcentral.